GUACACUCCUACGGGAGGCAGCAGUGGGGAAUUUUGAACAAUGGGCGAAAGCCUGAUCCAGCCAUGCCGCGUGCAGGAUGAAGGCCUUCGGGUUGUAAACUGCUUUUGUACGGAACGAAACGGCCUUUUCUAAUAAAGAGGGCUAAUGACGGUACCGUAAGAAUAAGCACCGGCUAACUACGUGCCAGCAGCCGCGGUAAUACGUAGGGUGCAAGCGUUAAUCGGAAUUACUGGGCGUAAAGCGUGCGCAGGCGGUUAUGUAAGACAGUUGUGAAAUCCCCGGGCUCAACCUGGGAACUGCAUCUGUGACUGCAUAGCUAGAGUACGGUAGAGGGGGAUGGAAUUCCGCGUGUAGCAGUGAAAUGCGUAGAUAUGCGGAGGAACACCGAUGGCGAAGGCAAUCCCCUGGACCUGUACUGACGCUCAUGCACGAAAGCGUGGGGAGCAAACAGGAUUAGAUACCCGAGUAGUCCCA
RNAcentral lists this ribosomal RNA (475 nucleotides) under uncultured organism. Its description in RNAcentral is "partial 16S ribosomal RNA". It matches the Rfam family "Bacterial small subunit ribosomal RNA", at positions 331 to 797 of the family's 1533-position model. The record is from RNAcentral.